CAGCCGCCGCGGUAAUACGUAGGGUGCAAGCGUUAAUCGGAAUUACUGGGCGUAAAGCGUGCGCAGGCGGUUCGCUAAGACAGGUGUGAAAUCCCCGGGCUUAACCUGGGAACUGCGCUUGUGACUGCACAGCUAGAGUAUGGCAGAAGGGGGUGGAAUUCCACGUGUAGCAGUGAAAUGCGUAGAGAUGUGGAGGAACACCGAUGGCGAAGGCAGCCCCCUGGGCCAAUACUGACGCUCAUGCACGAAAGCGUGGGGGGCAAACAGGAUUAGAUACCCCUGUAGUCCCUGUCUCUUAUAC
RNAcentral lists this ribosomal RNA (301 nucleotides) under uncultured bacterium. Its description in RNAcentral is "partial 16S ribosomal RNA". It matches the Rfam family "Bacterial small subunit ribosomal RNA", at positions 509 to 807 of the family's 1533-position model. The record is from RNAcentral.